UGGGGAAUAUUGGACAAUGGGCGAAAGCCUGAUCCAGCCAUGCCGCGUGAGUGAUGAAGGCCCUAGGGUUGUAAAGCUCUUUCAGUGGGGAAGAUAAUGACGGUACCCACACAAGAAGCCCCGGCUAACUUCGUGCCAGCAGCCGCGGUAAUACGAAGGGGGCUAGCGUUGUCCGGACUUACUGGGCGUAAAGCGCACGCAGGUGGUAGCGCAAGUGGGGUGUGAAAGCCGCCAGCUUAACUGGCGGAGGCCAUCCCAAACUGCGUCACUUGAGGCCUGUAGAGGUAUGUGGAAUUGCCGGUGUAGUGGUGAAAUGCGUGGAGAUCGGCAGGAACACCCAGGGGGAAACCAGCAUACUGGACAGGUCCUGACACUCAGGUGCGAUAGCGUGGGGAGCGAACCGGAUUAGAUACCCCCGUAGUCC
This 424-nucleotide ribosomal RNA is filed under the name uncultured prokaryote. RNAcentral describes it as "bacterial SSU rRNA". It matches the Rfam family "Bacterial small subunit ribosomal RNA", at positions 355 to 796 of the family's 1533-position model. The record is from RNAcentral.